This 30-nucleotide non-coding RNA is filed under the name Rattus norvegicus (Norway rat). The record is from RNAcentral. Lineage: Eukaryota; Metazoa; Chordata; Mammalia; Rodentia; Muridae.
UACAUUUCAGACUUACUAUGGACAAAGUGU